This is a long non-coding RNA of Symsagittifera roscoffensis, 249 nucleotides long. RefSeq lists it as uncharacterized. The record is from RefSeq and is a predicted model, not a curated record. The transcript has 3 exons. Lineage: Eukaryota; Metazoa; Xenacoelomorpha; Acoela; Convolutidae.
UGAAAAAAUUGAAUCUGCGGAAAUUGUUUUUUAUAAGUUCAAUUACACUAACUGCCUGCUUAUUUUUAUUAUAUAUCUUCACUAGCGGCUUAAAGCCCAAAAAAUUACUGGAAUUUCAUCAUAAAUGGAGUGAAGUUGCGCUUGAUCCACGUGACGUCAGAUUAACAUCUUCUCGUUAUGAUCAAGGACCAGGAGACAAGAAGGAUCGGCGAUAUGAUACAAUAGCUGGCUCAUAUUAUUUAAGACGGG